GAGUCAUGGAACUUGAGGUCACGAAGCAACAAGAAUAAGUCACAACCUACUGGAAAAAGUCUCACCUUGCUUCAAUCAGGCACCUCACAGGCGAUCUGAUUUUCAUGACCGUGAUUCUGGCCAAGCCUUUUGAACCUGUC
Molecule: long non-coding RNA, 140 nt
Organism: Fundulus heteroclitus (mummichog)
Lineage: Eukaryota; Metazoa; Chordata; Actinopteri; Cyprinodontiformes; Fundulidae
Exons: 3
Source: RefSeq, a predicted model, not a curated record